CUUCUUAACCACGGUCAGGUUAAAAAUAGUCCAGAACUUUCAUUAUGUGAAAAUUCUGGAAAAAUAGUCCCAACUACCUAAGGGAAUUAAGAAGUAGGCCUACAGAUUCUCCGCAUGGCCUGAGUGAGGCCCAAGGAGCUAGGCCGCCCUGGAAUUAAACCCUUAGAAGUAGUAUGACCUGUACAAUUUUGUGCCUUUCGUUGUCUGGUCUAGGGGGUAGUACAUACGCCAAGCGUGAUUGGCUUGGUUUAAGCCAUUUCAGGGGAGGUGUCGCCUUUCAUUGUCUGGUCCAGGGGUAAUACACACGGCAAGCUUGAUCAACUUGACGGAGCCGGCUCGAGGAGGGUGUCUAAUGUAAAGGCUCGAAACACCCGAAGAUCCGAGAGUGCAUUACUGAUGAUGUGUCCUGGCACAUGAUAAUGAAAGGUUUCGAUUUUCCUAUACAAGCAGCUGGCUUAGGAGCUCAGACUUUAAAUUCUGCAGACUAACCUUUGCCAGCUAAACAUAGAGAUCCACCAGCCCUACACUUAAACCUAAUCCUAAAGUCCAAAAGGGGCAUACACCCCCAUAAAUAGGCAAAUUCCAAGAGGGGUAGUCACCCCCAUAAACCCUAGGCAACUUCCAAGGGGGGCAUACACCCCCACAAACCCUAGGCAUUCCCCGAUUAACUUUUGAUAUUCUGAGAGGGGUAGGAUUCAACAAGGGCAAGUGUGGGACCUGGUUAAUGAAGGCGUGGGCCAGAUCAAAGUGGCAGGGUGAUGUGAAACAGAAUCUCAAGUGGGGAGAUCAGAAAUCACAAGAGGGCUUUUUAGCCCACUGCCCGCAUAAUUUCAACCUAACCUAUCAGUGACACGCUCUUCAUUCUCCCGGCCCCAGAGAGGCCAAUAAGAAAACCCAGAUAUUUUAUUUCACCUAUCGGGUGUUAAAAAAUUCAUAGUUAAAAGAAUGGAGAGGUUCACCAAUUAGCAGCUAAUGUACCUUUAAGGGCUGAGGUGAGCCGGUCUCCUAGCAACAGCCAGGUUUGCAGUAGGUGGACAAUUAGGUUUUAGUAUCACAUUAGUUAAAAGAGGCCCUGCGGGGGGAAGAAGGUGAGGGACGUUUUAACUGGAUAGCAGUACUGUCUGGGUUUAGAGACUCCACAGAAGACCCGAGUGACGGACGAGAGUCGAGUUGGACCUUCCGGUCGGGAAUCACGCUUUUUUGAAGGCAAUUGGUUGGAGUCGAAAUCGCAGACGCAAGAUAAGCAUUUGAAUGGGGCACGACUGCGCAAGCGAGUGAAAGUCAGCCCAUGAGGCAGCGGGAGUGUUUAAAAAGCGAACAGAUUAACGGAAUGGGCGAUGGAGUAGAGGGAGACAGAGUAGGAAGGCUUUGGCUUGAGAUACUUCAGUGAGCAAAGCCUAAGGACGACCUUGUUCCCAUUCAGUAAUCGGGGUUGGUGCACAGGAAGUUCAGCGAGGAGAAGCAAAGAGGGAGGACGUGCUGGAAACGCUCUGGUCAACCACCGUGGUUGGUCCCAGUCCAAGAGUCGUGGAGUUCAGAGGAAAUCGAAUGAUAUUGCGUGAGGACCGAGGAUAUUGUGUGAGCUCCAACAUGUGCACAAACUGUAUAAUCUCUAUUCUUGGUGCCUUUUUAUUUUAUAUUUUUAUUUCGCUACUAAC
Molecule: long non-coding RNA, 1658 nt
Organism: Hypanus sabinus (Atlantic stingray)
Lineage: Eukaryota; Metazoa; Chordata; Chondrichthyes; Myliobatiformes; Dasyatidae
Exons: 3
Source: RefSeq, a predicted model, not a curated record